GUUGCAGGGUAUAGACCCGAAACCCGGUGAUCUAGCCAUGGGCAGGUUGAAGGUUGGGUAACACUAACUGGAGGACCGAACCGACUAAUGUUGAAAAAUUAGCGGAUGACCUGUGGCUGGGGGUGAAAGGCCAAUCAAACCGGGAGAUAGCUGGUUCUCCCCGAAAGCUAUUUAGGUAGCGCCUCGUGAAUUCAUCUCCGGGGGUAGAGCACUGUUUCGGCUAGGGGGCCAUCCCGGCUUACCAACCCGAUGCAAACUGCGAAUACCGGAGAAUGUUAUCACGGGAGACACACGGCGGGUGCUAACGUCCGUCGUGAAGAGGGAAACAACCCAGACCGCCAGCUAAGGUCCCAAAGUCAUGGUUAAGUGGGAAACGAUGUGGGAAGGCCCAGACAGCCAGGAUGUUGGCUUAGAAGCAGCCAUCAUUUAAAGAAAGCGUAAUAGCUCACUGGUCGAGUCGGCCUGCGCGGAAGAUGUAACGGGGCUAAACCAUGCACCGAAGCUGCGGCAGCGACACUGUGUGUUGUUGGGUAGGGGAGCGUUCUGUAAGCCUGCGAAGGUGGCCUGUGAGGGUUGCUGGAGGUAUCAGAAGUGCGAAUGCUGACAUAAGUAACGAUAAAGCGGGUGAAAAGCCCGCUCGCCGGAAGACCAAGGGUUCCUGUCCAACGUUAAUCGGGGCAGGGUGAGUCGACCCCUAAGGCGAGGCCGAAAGGCGUAGUCGAUGGGAAACGGGUUAAUAUUCCCGUACUUGGUGUUACUGCGAAGGGGGGACGGAGAAGGCUAUGUUGGCCGGGCGACGGUUGUCCCGGUUUAAGCGUGUAGGUGUGUGUUCCAGGUAAAUCCGGUUCACUUUAACACUGAGGCGUGACGACGAGGCACUACGGUGCUGAAGCAACAAAUGCCCUGCUUCCAGGAAAAGCCUCUAAGCAUCAGGUAACAUCAAAUCGUACCCCAAACCGACACAGGUGGUCAGGUAGAGAAUACCAAGGCGCUUGAGAGAACUCGGGUGAAGGAACUAGGCAAAAUGGUGCCGUAACUUCGGGAGAAGGCACGCUGACACGUAGGUGAAGUGAUUUACUCAUGGAGCUGAAGUCAGUCGAAGAUACCAGCUGGCUGCAACUGUUUAUUAAAAACACAGCACUGUGCAAACACGAAAGUGGACGUAUACGGUGUGACGCCUGCCCGGUGCCGGAAGGUUAAUUGAUGGGGUCAGCGCAAGCGAAGCUCCUGAUCGAAGCCCCGGUAAACGGCGGCCGUAACUAUAACGGUCCUAAGGUAGCGAAAUUCCUUGUCGGGUAAGUUCCGACCUGCACGAAUGGCGUAAUGAUGGCCAGGCUGUCUCCACCCGAGACUCAGUGAAAUUGAACUCGCUGUGAAGAUGCAGUGUACCCGCGGCAAGACGGAAAGACCCCGUGAACCUUUACUAUAGCUUGACACUGAACAUUGAGCCUUGAUGUGUAGGAUAGGUGGGAGGCUUUGAAGUGUGGACGCCAGUCUGCAUGGAGCCGACCUUGAAAUACCACCCUUUAAUGUUUGAUGUUCUAACGUGGACCCGUUACCCGGGUUGCGGACAGUGUCUGGUGGGUAGUUUGACUGGGGCGGUCUCCUCCUAAAGAGUAACGGAGGAGCACGAAGGUUGGCUAAUCCUGGUCGGACAUCAGGAGGUUAGUGCAAUGGCAUAAGCCAGCUUGACUGCGAGCGUGACGGCGCGAGCAGGUGCGAAAGCAGGUCAUAGUGAUCCGGUGGUUCUGAAUGGAAGGGCCAUCGCUCAACGGAUAAAAGGUACUCCGGGGAUAACAGGCUGAUACCGCCCAAGAGUUCAUAUCGACGGCGGUGUUUGGCACCUCGAUGUCGGCUCAUCACAUCCUGGGGCUGAAGUAGGUCCCAAGGGUAUGGCUGUUCGCCAUUUAAAGUGGUACGCGAGCUGGGUUUAGAACGUCGUGAGACAGUUCGGUCCCUAUCUGCCGUGGGCGCUGGAGAACUGAGGGGGGCUGCUCCUAGUACGAGAGGACCGGAGUGGACGCAUCACUGGUGUUCGGGUUGUCAUGCCAAUGGCACUGCCCGGUAGCUAAAUGCGGAAGAGAUAAGUGCUGAAAGCAUCUAAGCACGAAACUUGCCCCGA
This 2122-nucleotide ribosomal RNA is filed under the name Salmonella enterica subsp. enterica serovar Enteritidis. RNAcentral's name for it is "partial 23S ribosomal RNA". It matches the Rfam family "Bacterial large subunit ribosomal RNA", at positions 699 to 2802 of the family's 2925-position model. The record is from RNAcentral. Lineage: Bacteria; Pseudomonadati; Pseudomonadota; Gammaproteobacteria; Enterobacterales; Enterobacteriaceae.